This 29-nucleotide non-coding RNA is filed under the name Mus musculus (house mouse). The record is from RNAcentral. Lineage: Eukaryota; Metazoa; Chordata; Mammalia; Rodentia; Muridae.
UCCUAGUGAGGGCUUCAAAGCAACGUAGA